RNAcentral lists this ribosomal RNA (498 nucleotides) under uncultured bacterium. RNAcentral's name for it is "partial 16S ribosomal RNA". It matches the Rfam family "Bacterial small subunit ribosomal RNA", at positions 30 to 523 of the family's 1533-position model. The record is from RNAcentral.
AUUGAACGCUGGCGGCAUGCCUUACACAUGCAAGUCGAACGGUAACAGGUCUUCGGAUGCUGACGAGUGGCGAACGGGUGAGUAAUACAUCGGAACGUGCCUAGUAGUGGGGGAUAACUACUCGAAAGAGUGGCUAAUACCGCAUGAGAUCUACGGAUGAAAGCAGGGGAUCGCAAGACCUUGUGCUACUAGAGCGGCAGAUGGCAGAUUAGGUAGUUGGUGGGAUAAAAGCUUACCAAGCCGACGAUCUAUAGCUGGUCUGAGAGGACGAUCAGCCACACUGGGACUGAGACACGGCCCAGACUCCUACGGGAGGCAGCAGUGGGGAAUUUUGGACAAUGGGCGAAAGCCUGAUCCAGCAAUGCCGCGUGCAGGAUGAAGGCCUUCGGGUUGUAAACUGCUUUUGUACGGAACGAAAAGCCCCGGGUUAAUACCCUGGGGUCAUGACGGUACCGUAAGAAUAAGCACCGGCUAACUACGUGCCAGCAGCCGCCGUAA